UAAGACGAAGGGGGCUAGCGUUGUUCGGAAUUACUGGGCGUAAAGCGAGUGUAGGUGGUUGUCGUAGUCAGGCGUGAAAGCCUUGAGCUCAACUCAAGAAAUGCGCUUGAUACUGGGCAGCUAGAGGACCGGAGAGGAUAGUGGAAUUCCCAGUGUAGUGGUGAAAUACGUAGAGAUUGGGAAGAACACCAGUGGCGAAGGCGGCUAUCUGGACGGUUUCUGACACUAAGACUCGAAAGCGUGGGGAGCAAACAGGAUUAGAUACCCUGGUAGUCCACGCCGUAAACGAUGGGUGCUAGACGUUGGCGGGCUUGCCCGUCAGUGUCGCAGCUAACGCGUUAAGCACCCCGCCUGGGGAGUACGGCCGCAAGGUUG
Molecule: ribosomal RNA, 375 nt
Filed under: uncultured bacterium
Lineage: Bacteria
Description: bacterial SSU rRNA
Rfam family: Bacterial small subunit ribosomal RNA
Source: RNAcentral